This 210-nucleotide long non-coding RNA is filed under the name Olea europaea (common olive). RNAcentral's name for it is "long non-coding RNA (OEUR_LNC009757)". The record is from RNAcentral. Lineage: Eukaryota; Viridiplantae; Streptophyta; Magnoliopsida; Lamiales; Oleaceae.
UGAGAGGACAAGGAUGUACACUAAGGUUUUCACUCGUAAAAAGAGAAAUUUAGAUAGAACUUAUCAACAAACUGAUAUCCUGAUGCGAGAUAAAAGACUUAAAAAAGCUUCGAAGUUAGUUUCCUCUCCAUACACGACUCGAGCUAAGUAGAGAAGACAUGUUGACAGCACGAGUGUUGAUCUUUUUCGAGACGUUGACCCGGUUAAGAA